RNAcentral lists this ribosomal RNA (253 nucleotides) under uncultured bacterium. RNAcentral describes it as "partial 16S ribosomal RNA". It matches the Rfam family "Bacterial small subunit ribosomal RNA", at positions 524 to 776 of the family's 1533-position model. The record is from RNAcentral.
UACGAGGGGGGCAAGCGUUGUUCGGAAUCACUGGGCUUAAAGGGCGCGUAGGCGGGCCGCCGCGUCCGGGGUGAAAUCCUCCCGCUCAACGGGAGAACGGCCUCGGAUACGGGCGGCCUGGAGGGGGGUAGGGGCACGCGGAACUGUGGGUGGAGCGGUGAAAUGCGUUGAGAUCCACAGGAACUCCGGUGGCGAAGGCGGCGUGCUGGACCCCACCUGACGCUGAGGCGCGAAAGCCAGGGGAGCGAACGGG